AUUGAACGCUGGCGGCAUGCUUUACACAUGCAAGUCGGACGGCAGCACAGAGAAGUUUGCCUCUUGGGUGGCGAGUGGCGCACGGGUGAGUCAUAUAUCGGAACGUACCUAGCAAUGGGGGAUAACUAAUCGAAAGAUUAGCAAAUACCGCAUAGUCUCUGAGGAGGAAAGCAGGGGACCUUCGGGCCUUCCGUCAUUACAGCCGCCGAUAUCUGAUUAGCUAGUUGGCGGGGUAUAGGCCUACCAAGUCGACGACCAGUAGCGGCUAUGAGCGGAUGAAGCGCCACACUGGGACGGAGACACGGCCCAGGCACCUGAGGAAGGCACAAGUGGGGAAUUUUGGACAAUGGAGGCAGGCCUGAUACCGAAAGCCCGCGCAGCUGAAAAAGACCUUCGCGUUGUAAAGGCGUUUUGUCAGGGAAGAAACGGCUGGUAAUGAAAAAAACAGCUAGUGACGGUACCUACAGACAAAGCACCGGCUAACUACGUG
This 490-nucleotide ribosomal RNA is filed under the name uncultured bacterium. RNAcentral's name for it is "partial 16S ribosomal RNA". It matches the Rfam family "Bacterial small subunit ribosomal RNA", at positions 30 to 507 of the family's 1533-position model. The record is from RNAcentral.